Molecule: non-coding RNA, 135 nt
Organism: Triticum aestivum (bread wheat)
Lineage: Eukaryota; Viridiplantae; Streptophyta; Magnoliopsida; Poales; Poaceae
Source: Rfam
AUGGUACUCCCUCCGUCCCAAAUUUUUUGUCUUAAAUUUGUCUAAAUACGGAUGUAUCAAGUCGCGUUUUAGUAUUAGGUACAUCCGUAUCUAAACAAAUAUAAGACAAGAAUUUUGAGAUGGAGGGAGUAUUAG